This 635-nucleotide long non-coding RNA is filed under the name Sinocyclocheilus anshuiensis. RNAcentral describes it as "lncRNA (ENSSANG00000034342.1)". The record is from RNAcentral. Lineage: Eukaryota; Metazoa; Chordata; Actinopteri; Cypriniformes; Cyprinidae.
GGAGGGUGAAGAUACCAGCUGCUCUGAGAGCAUCAGUGUUUCUCUGUGGAAUAUGAUCAUUCUCUGGCUCUGUAUUUUAAAGGAAUGAGACUGACGUUAUGGGAGUUUCUUUUACUCUGAAUGCUGAAGCACUAGUGAGGGUUGAUGGGAGCGACUGAGUGUUUACAGUUGACAGCUGACAUCAGAUGGAGGGACGGCACGAUUGAGAGCGAAACCAUCAACAAAUAGGCCUCCUGAGCGUGCUGGAUGCCCAAAACACUCACCAGCUGCUGUGGGACGUCCUCUCAGAUCGCUCUCCUCCAGCUGUCGUCCUAAAUUAGCUGAGCUCUGUGAAAAGAGAGCCGUUUCAACUGACCCCUUCUGUUCCUUGAAGCUCCAGCCGUCCGUGACACCCAAAUGCUGCCUGUCUUUCAUCAAACUGGUCACUCCUGGAGAAAAAUGGACUUUGAGUGAAGGGCGGCCCUUUAUGUGGGCUGACUCCCUCUAGGACGACUCUGAAACUAGUUGAGACUCAAAUGGGUGACCUAUGACAAUGUAACCAAUAAGGGGACUUGAGUUCUCGAUUUCCCAAGCAGCUGCAAGCAGGAUAUGAGCUUGAGCCGUGGGUAUCGGCGAUAAAACAAACCUUUCAUCGC